AACGAACGCUGGCGGCAUGCCUAACACAUGCAAGUCGAACGAGACCUUCGGGUCUAGUGGCGCACGGGUGCGUAACGCGUGGGAACCUGCCCUUAGGUUCGGAAUAACUCCCCGAAAGGGGUGCUAAUACCGGAUAAUGUCUUCGGACCAAAGAUUUAUCGCCUUUGGAUGGGCCCGCGUUGGAUUAGCUAGUUGGUAGGGUAAAAGCCUACCAAGGCGACGAUCCAUAGCUGGUCUGAGAGGAUGAUCAGCCACACUGGGACUGAGACACGGCCCAGACUCCUACGAGAGGCAGCAGUGGUGAAUAUUGGACAAUGGGCGAAAGCCUGAUCCAGCAAUGCCGCGUGAGUGAUGAAGGCCUUAGGGUUGUAAAGCUCUUUUACCCGGGAUGAUAAUGACUGUACCGGGAGAAUAAGCUCCGGCUAACUCCGU
Molecule: ribosomal RNA, 432 nt
Filed under: uncultured bacterium
Lineage: Bacteria
Description: partial 16S ribosomal RNA
Rfam family: Bacterial small subunit ribosomal RNA
Source: RNAcentral